UUUCCGUAGGUGAACCUGCGGAAGGAUCAUUCAUAAUAAGUGCUUUAUGGCACUUUUUUAAAUCCAUAUCCACCUUGUGUGCAAUGUCAGGGUUGAUUUUUCUCUCGAGAGGAUCAACCCCAAACAUCAACUGUAUCUCAACUCUUUGUCUGAAAAAUAUUAUGAAUAAAACAAUUCAAAAUACAACUUUCAACAACGGAUCUCUUGGCUCUC
This 213-nucleotide unclassified non-coding RNA is filed under the name plant metagenome. Its description in RNAcentral is "partial contains small subunit ribosomal RNA, internal transcribed spacer 1, and 5.8S ribosomal RNA". The record is from RNAcentral.